CUUGGUCAUUUAGAGGAAGUAAAAGUCAUAACAAGGUAUCUGUAGGUGAACCUGCAGAUGGAUCAUUAGUGAAUAACAAGGGGUUCCCACUCUGUGGGCCCCAACCCUAUCACCAUAUCCACACACCUGUGCACCGCUAGUGAUGACUGAUGCGCAAUGCGCAUCUUGUCAUCGCCAGCACCCUUUACACACACACACACACAAAGUAAAUGAAUGUCACUGUAACUACGCAAGUAGAAACAAAAUACAACUUUUGACAACGGAUCUCUUGGUUCUCCCAUCGAUGAAGAACGCAGCGAAAUGCGAUAAGUAAUGUGAAUUGCAGAAUUCAGUGAAUCAUCGAAUCUUUGAACGCACCUUGCGCUCCUUGGUAUUCCGAGGAGCAUGCCUGUUUGAGUGUCAUGAAUUCUCAACCCUCAAUGCUUUAUUGCAUUGCUUGGGGUUGGUCCUUGGGUGCUUGCCGUCUUUACACGACAGCUCACCUCAAAUGUAUUAGCUGGACCCGUGCUUCUUGCGUAGGUGUCCUCAACGUGAUAAAGUCAUUCGUUGAGGCGUGCAGGCAACUGCCCUUACCUUCUUGUACAAGCGUCUGCUUCUAACCCGGCGAACGACUCCUUUGCAGUCUGACCCAUGACUUAAAGCUCUGGCCUCAAAUCAGGUAGGAUUACCCGCUGAACUUAAGCAUAUCAAUAAGCGGAGGA
Molecule: ribosomal RNA, 701 nt
Filed under: Entyloma holwayi
Lineage: Eukaryota; Fungi; Basidiomycota; Exobasidiomycetes; Entylomatales; Entylomataceae
Description: eukaryotic LSU rRNA
Rfam family: 5.8S ribosomal RNA (bases 249-402)
Source: RNAcentral